Molecule: long non-coding RNA, 238 nt
Organism: Sinocyclocheilus anshuiensis
Lineage: Eukaryota; Metazoa; Chordata; Actinopteri; Cypriniformes; Cyprinidae
Exons: 3
Source: RefSeq, a predicted model, not a curated record
AUGUGUUUCUGUGUAAUUUGUGUUAUUUUGCAUUUAGAUGGAUAUGAAGGUGCUAUUAAUAUCAGCUCUACUAGGAUUUGUCUCUCAUGUCAGAUCAAAAACAGAUAGCAAUAUGUGUAUUUCUGCAAAUGCCAAAACAUGUGGAGAGUGUAUUCAGAUCGGGCCACAGUGUGCGUGGUGCAAAGAUCCUGGUUUCAAACCUUCACGCUGUGAUGACAGAGAUUCUCUGGAAAAGGCU